RNAcentral lists this small RNA (89 nucleotides) under Salmonella enterica subsp. enterica serovar Manhattan. Its description in RNAcentral is "partial RtT sRNA". It matches the Rfam family "RtT RNA", at positions 42 to 130 of the family's 130-position model. From Rfam's summary of the family: This family represents a bacterial cis-regulatory element known as RtT RNA. The exact function of RtT is unknown although it is thought that it may be involved in changing the cellular response in relation to amino acid starvation. The record is from RNAcentral. Lineage: Bacteria; Pseudomonadati; Pseudomonadota; Gammaproteobacteria; Enterobacterales; Enterobacteriaceae.
UUCGACUCGAGCGAAGCGAGAGAACGUUGCGCCAGCAACGGCCCGCAGGGCGAGCCACGCAGUGGCGAGUCAUCCUCUAUCACCGGCAG